This 329-nucleotide RNase P RNA is filed under the name Pseudotamlana haliotis. Its description in RNAcentral is "Tamlana haliotis Bacterial RNase P class A". It matches the Rfam family "Bacterial RNase P class A". Rfam says of the family: Ribonuclease P (RNase P) is a ubiquitous endoribonuclease, found in archaea, bacteria and eukarya as well as chloroplasts and mitochondria. Its best characterised activity is the generation of mature 5'-ends of tRNAs by cleaving the 5'-leader elements of precursor-tRNAs. Cellular RNase Ps are ribonucleoproteins. The record is from Rfam by way of RNAcentral. Lineage: Bacteria; Pseudomonadati; Bacteroidota; Flavobacteriia; Flavobacteriales; Flavobacteriaceae.
CAAGUAAAUCGCCUUAUCGCUGUUCAUGCAAAUGAACGGAGGAAAGUCCGAACACCAUAGUGCAACAUAGUGGUUAAUGGCCACCAGUCGUGAGAUUAGGAAAAGUGCAACAGAAAGUAUGUACAGGUAAUGCUGUAGUGAAACCCGGUAAACUCUAUGUGGUGCAAUGUCAUGUAAACUAGCGCUCCGAUACUUAUCGGGAGAAGGCGGCACGUUUGAUGCUAGAGGGUAGGCAGCUAAAGUGUACAGGUAACUGUACAUUCAGAUAAAUGAUAAGGGUGUUUAAUUUUUUAAACAUACAGGAUUCGGCUUAUAGAUUUACUUAAGCA